CAAAAUGGGAGUCCAAACCACCUGUUCAUGGAGUUUAGUGUUCAUGGUCUAGAAGAGCCCUGGCUGGAUUUUAUAUGUACUAUUUCUGCCACUGGCCAAGUAAAGAUCAUAGGAGAUGCUCGACACUCAGAAGUCAAAGCAUGGAAAGUGAGGUGUGGCAAAAGGAAAGCAGCUUUUAUUGGUCAAACGCCUACAAAUGAGAGAAUGGCCAGGCUCAAGCCUCAAAGGAUUCAUGGUUGGCUAAGUACCAAGUUGUUCAGGAAAAAUAUCUCACAACACUUCCAAUCAGAAUUCAGAGGAAAUGUCACCUACGUAAACUGCAACUUGACCAACAGUUACUUACAGAGAACCAGUUUAAGGUUUAUUUUCCACCACUGUGACUUUGUGCCCUUCUGUAAGCAUAUCAGGGAAAAGGAAGUCGAUGAUUUUACUCACUUACUUUCUCGGUCUCUGGUGUCCUUCCUAUAAAUUUACUGCAAGAGCUUCUAGAAGAUGCCCACAUUCCUUGGCUAGCAGCCCACGUUCCUUCAUCUCAAAGGCAGCAACAUUGCAUCUUUCUGUUAAUAGCCAAGAGAAGCUUAUUCUAGGAAUAAAAGGUGUGUUUUACAUCUGAAGCUUAAUUAAUGUAACGUACAAUGUUAAUAGAACUAAAGAAACCAUAUGAUAAUCUCAGUUAGCACUGAAUAUAAAAAAUCCAAUAUUUUCCCAACAGAGUUUAAACAAGUCUCUCUCCGGCAUGCUAUGUUCUAAUCCAAGAAUUUCCAAUCUGUGUUAAAGUUUCUCUCACCUUUUAAAUGAGUCUAGGUCACAAUAAGAUAUGUUUAUUAAAAGAAAAGACAAACACAAACAGGCAAAUCUUUAACUCCUAAUAUAGUUCCCAAGAAAAUGAUGUUUCCAAAACCUCAAACAUACAAUACUUAGAACUACAUUAGUAUGUUUUGAAAAUCAAAUACUGUAUAUAGGCUUGAUGUAUCUGAAAUUAGUACAUAUUCAGCAAAGUUAUAGGGAUAGAAAUAGAAUUCCUUAGAUAAUCCUAGCCAAGAUAUCAGAUAAAAAGUCAUUGAUAGGUUUUAAUAAUUCCAGCUUUUUGUAAUUUUAACUCCUGAGACUAUGCUAAAUAGAAAAUUCUGAAUGAGAGGUUGAUUGUUGCACCAUAUGUUUACUAUAUUUAGGUAAAUAAUCCAAUUAUUCAUAGAUUUUCCUUUGACAGAUUAGUACUUGAGACAAUCUUGUUUUCCUCAAAUUCUAGACAUUGCUAUGCUCAAUCCCACACUCAUAUUUUAUUGAAAUCUUCCUUUUUUCCUUUUAUGUCUAUUAACUUGUACUUACCCAUUUUAAAGUUAAUAUUUAUUCUCAAUAGUAGUAUUUGAGUAAUAUAAUCAAUAUUAAGUAUUUAAAUUAUGCAAAAUGAAAAUUCUGUCUCACUUCUCACCACCACAUUCAUUUCUAGUUGACAGGCCUCCACCUUUUUGCAGAUUUUAGCUAUUUCUUUGGUAGAAUUAUUAUAAUGCUAUUUCUGAAAUCAUUUAUGUUGGACCUUUAAUUAUGUGUUGACUGCCUGACAUGAUAUAUGAGGAUUUAUCUCUCUUUUGUGAGCAGCUACUACUCUACUCCAAAGAGAUGGGUGGUACCUAUCUAUUUUUUUAACUGAUAUUUUUGUUUUGCACAGAAUUUCUACUUUAAAAAUGGUUUUAUAUUCUAAUUAUGGAAUCCUGCACAUAUCAAAAAGUAUAAAUAACACAUUUAUAAAAUAUUUAAAGAGGCUUAAUGAAUUGGACACCAUCACAGUUUAAUUUUUUAUUUGACAUUUAAAAAUAUCUUUAUUGACAUAUAAUUCAUAUAGCAUAAAAGCUACUUAUUUAAAGUAUACCACUCAAUGGUUUCUAGUAUGUUCACACAUUAUUACCACAAUCAAUUUUAGAUCACUUUCAUUCCUGCAAAGAGAAGCCCUGUAACAAUUAGCUGUGGUUUCUCAGAUUCUCCCAUAACCACUCUGCCACCAGGCAUAGGCUAUCGUGAACCUUCAUCUCGGUAAAUUUGCCUAUUUUGGACAUCUAAUAUAAAAGGAAUCAUAUAACCAGUGGUUUCAUUCAGUUAGCAUGUUUUCAAGGUUUAUCUGUGUCAUAGAAUGUGCCAAUAGUUCAUUCCCUUGUACUGCAAAAUCAUAUUAUGUUGUAAGGAUACACUACAUUUUAUUUAUGCAUUCAGUCAUCAGUUGAUAGACAUGUAUUUUUUGACUUUUGGGCUUUUGUAAAUAACAUUACUAUAGACAUUUUUGUACGAGUAUGUUUGUGGACAUAGUAUUUCCUUAUUCUUGGUUAUAUACCUGGGAGUGGAAUGGCCAAGUGAUAUGGAGCCUCAAAGAACUGCUCAACUAUUUUUCCAAAAAGACGGCACCAUUUUACUUUCCAGACAGAAAUCAAUAAAUCUUUCAGUUUCUCCACGUCUUUUCCAACACUUGUCACUUUCUUUUUUAUUGUAGUUAUUCUAAUGAGUGUGAUGUGGUAUUGCAUUUCCCAAAUGGAUAAUGAUAAUGUGUAUCAAUUCAUAUGCAUAUUGGUCAUUUUAUAUUUUCUUUGAAGAAAUGUCUAUAAUACAACUUGCUCAUAUAUUAAAUUGGGUUAUUU
Molecule: long non-coding RNA, 2627 nt
Filed under: Callithrix jacchus (white-tufted-ear marmoset)
Lineage: Eukaryota; Metazoa; Chordata; Mammalia; Primates; Cebidae
Description: lncRNA (ENSCJAG00000062889.2)
Source: RNAcentral